RNAcentral lists this ribosomal RNA (325 nucleotides) under uncultured eukaryote. RNAcentral's name for it is "partial 18S ribosomal RNA". It matches the Rfam family "Eukaryotic small subunit ribosomal RNA", at positions 1470 to 1796 of the family's 1831-position model. The record is from RNAcentral.
CCCUUAGAUGUUCUGGGCCGCACGCGCGCUACACUGAUGCAUUCAACAAGUUCUACCUUGGCCGAGAGGCCUGGGAAAUCUUUCAAAUAUGUAUCGUGAUAGGGAUAGAUUAUUGCAAUUAUUAAUCUUGAACGAGGAAUUCCUAGUAAAUGCAGAUCAUCAUUCUGCGUUGAUUACGUCCCUGCCCUUUGUACACACCGCCCGUCGCACCUACCGAUUGAAUGAUCCGGUGAAGCCUCGGGAUUGUGCCCAGAGAACUUUAUUGUGAUUUGGGUGUGAGGACUUGUCUAAACCUUAUCAUUUAGAGGAAGGUGAAGUCGUAACA